AAAACCAACGUUUCGGUUGAUUCAGUCUCCCCAGGCCACAUUACAGCUGGUUUACAUUUCUUGAUCAGAGAUCUCUAAUCUUGCCUUAGCACGGGCCCUCGUGUGACUUCCCUCUUCUGCUGAAAUUUAAUUCCAUUGGGCAAAUAUGUAUAACCAUUCGUUGCUCACACUGUGUCCUGAGACAAGCAAGGGAGUGGGAGAGGUGCCCUUCAGAAAGGCCCAGAUGCCGCAGGACAGGGCUUCCAGGCUGCCGGUGCAGGAAGAGGGAAGGCGCUGCCUCGGUCCGGUUGCAGGGCAACAGCAGCACUAGCGGGCUUUAUGCGUCUGGUCUGCCAUCACUCGCUGUUUGCAAACUGGGGACCAAGGAAUCUGCUGCCGCUGUCUGAAGGGGAGCCAGUGGUGUGGGCCCCGGCCCGGGGCCAGGUGAAGACCAGUGUCCCAGAUGCAGAAGUCGAGCAGAGAGUGAAUUCUCCUUUCCUCUGCCUUUUUUUCCGUCCGGGCCCUCGGAGCACUGGACGAGGCCCACCCUCGUCAGAGAGGACAACCUGCUUCACUGCCUCAAAUAUUAACCUCACCCAGAAACAGCCUCACAGACACAGCCUGAAUCAGGUUCGAGCAAAUACCCCGGGUGCCUGUGGCCCUGGUGGAUGUAAAAUUGACCCUUCCAGGUGGACAGGCCCAGGUGGGUGUGGCCGGCUGGCCAUUUCCCUGAUCGCCCCUAGAGUGAUGUGGUCCUCACGGCCUUCCAGGAAGUGGGCUAAGAUCUGUCUGCGUGCUUCCCAGAGCAGUGAAUAAGGCUCUGUCUCCCAACCUCAUCCACGCCUCCCUGGGCUCAGGCUGUGAACCCCCGUCUGGACGUAUCCAUGGCGAGCGGGGUGAGCGGGUUGCAUAGGCCGAGCCUUGUCCCCAGUGACCACUGGGGAGCCGUGUGGCCGCACCUGCCUCUCGGCGCUUGGUGGGAAGAAUAGAGCCAGUCCCAUACAGGGAGGACGUGUUGACCGAGGGGACAAAGGUGGAAUCGUUCCCCCAGGCCGGCUUGUGGUGUUGUCAGCUGGAGAACACCGUCUCGCUUGAACAGAGCCCGCCAUGGCCUCACAUAAUGAAGUGCAAACAGGAUUUUGAAAAAAGGGUGCACAGCCCACAAUUUUGUAAGGAGCUCUGGUUGGACUUCCUGCCUACACUGAGUUUAAUUGGUAGGCCAUCCACAUCAGACAUUUUCACGCAAUGUCUACCCUUCGGCAAGGUUCCCACGGAGCACAGAAAGUGGAAAGAACCUCUUCCCAUCUGCUGGGUGGCCACACAUUAGGAACAGUGAUAACACCCAGCGACAACCCACAUUUCACGUUCUUCUGCAGCGCUUUCUAUGGUCAAAGCUUUCUCCUGCCUCCGAAAUCUUCUUGUCAUGUUCUGAGUCCUCCCUGAAGAAUGUGAAGUCUUGGGACGCCUGUCUGCUGGCUUUCACUGGUGCUUGGUGCAUAGAAACUGUUUCUCUACCCGUCAGGUGUGUGUGGGGUCCCAGACCACCCCGGCGAGACCCACGGUAAUGAGCACUGGUUUCUGCUCUGCCUACGACAGGCGUUUACUGAAGUCCCAGGAGGCACCGGGCUACAUCCACAGCUGGAAACAAAACCAACUGGCCACCGCCCUCACUUUGGCCUCGCGACAGCCAGGCGGUGCUUGAAAGGACAGUGAUGACUGGAUCUCACUUCAGUGACCACACGGGACCCAGGUAAGGACAUUGACCCAAGACACCAACCAGAUGCAAAGUCUACACAUCGGUGAAGAGACUAGAACUGUCUCUCUGUUGCUGCACCACACGGUAUAGGGUGCGUCCUGUGUCACAUGGACACUGCUGAGCAGGCGUCGCCCAGAAAAGCAGGUGGACAGGGGCUCCGGGCAAAUUAAAUACUCACGGAGGAUUUCAGCGGAGGAGGCAGAAGGGAAACUUGUGACUGGAGUAAGGUGAAGGAAGGCUGGGGCACAAAGGACACGGGAAAGAGGUGCGGGCACAGCCCAGGGGCUCUGGAGGCUCGUCUGGGACUUUAGAUGUCUUUCUUGAUGAGAAAGAAAAACUCUGAAAUAUUUUCAGUAUAGGAGUUGUGUGGCCAGACGUGUGGCUUCCAAAGACCACCCUGGGUGCUGUGUGAGAAGGGACUGGAGAAGGCUGGGCGUGGGGACCGAGAGCCAGGGUCUGCCAGGGGGUGGCUCCAUUCGUUCACGGGAAGACUAAGGCUGAGCCCCAGGUGGGGCCGGAGAUGAAGGACAGUGGACAUGCUCGGUACAAGCAUGUCGCUGAGGAGCUGCACGGGCAGGACGUGGCAGGGGGUGCUGCUCCGAGAUGCCUUCCUGGACACCGGUUCCCAUGAUGAAGGCUGUGCUGUCGGG
This is a long non-coding RNA of Acinonyx jubatus (cheetah), 2385 nucleotides long. RefSeq lists it as uncharacterized. NCBI's taxonomy places the organism in Eukaryota, Metazoa, Chordata, Mammalia, Carnivora, Felidae. The record is from RefSeq and is a predicted model, not a curated record. The transcript has 4 exons.